UACAGAGGUCCCGAGCGUUGUUCGGAUUUACUGGGCGUAAAGGGCGCGUAGGCGGCGCGGUAAGUCACUUGUGAAAUCUCUGAGCUUAACUCAGAACGGCCAAGUGAUACUGCAGUGCUAGAGUGUGGAAGGGGCAAUCGGAAUUCUUGGUGUAGCGGUGAAAUGCGUAGAUAUCAAGAGGAACACCUGAGGUGAAGACGGGUUGCUGGGCCAACACUGACGCUGAUGCGCGAAAGCCAGGGGAGCAAACGGG
This 253-nucleotide ribosomal RNA is filed under the name uncultured bacterium. RNAcentral's name for it is "partial 16S ribosomal RNA". It matches the Rfam family "Bacterial small subunit ribosomal RNA", at positions 524 to 776 of the family's 1533-position model. The record is from RNAcentral.